RNAcentral lists this non-coding RNA (28 nucleotides) under Homo sapiens (human). The record is from RNAcentral. Lineage: Eukaryota; Metazoa; Chordata; Mammalia; Primates; Hominidae.
AAGGUGGACGGCGGUGGCGGCGGUGGCG